RNAcentral lists this ribosomal RNA (192 nucleotides) under uncultured bacterium. Its description in RNAcentral is "partial 16S ribosomal RNA". It matches the Rfam family "Bacterial small subunit ribosomal RNA", at positions 335 to 524 of the family's 1533-position model. The record is from RNAcentral.
ACUCCUACGGGAGGCAGCAGUGAGGAAUAUUGGACAAUGGCCGCAAGCCUGAUCCAGCCAUGCCGCGUGCUGGAAGACAGCCCUACGGGUUGUUAACUGCUUUUAAACGGGAAGAAUAAGGGGUACGUGUACCCCACUGCCGGUACCGUAAGAACAAGGACCGGCUAACUCCGUGCCAGCAGCCGCGGUAAU